UCUCUCUGAAUCUGCGAACGGCUCCGCACACCAGUUGUAAACCAAAGCAAGCAAGCCCGGUCUCGACGCCUUUCGGGGCUAGGGGCCGGGCUACAAGGAUAACCCUGGUAAUUCUGAGGCUAAUACUUGACACCUAACCUGUCGACUGGGUCUCGGCCCGGGAAGCGGGGGAUGUGCGACUAUCGGGCCAACAAAACCGGAAAGAGCGCACGUUCAGACCACUUAAAAAGGCUACGGGGUCCCUCGGGAUCCUGGAGCUGUGGCUCUUGCAGCGUGCUUCUGACCUAUCAACUAGACGGCAGCCUAAGGGACAUGCUUUGGUGACAACGGGUACAGAGGAUAAGGGUUCGAUCCUGGAGAGUGGGCCUGAGAGAUU
RNAcentral lists this ribosomal RNA (376 nucleotides) under uncultured myxomycete. RNAcentral describes it as "SSU rRNA". It matches the Rfam family "Eukaryotic small subunit ribosomal RNA", at positions 76 to 405 of the family's 1831-position model. The record is from RNAcentral. Lineage: Eukaryota; Evosea; Eumycetozoa.